Molecule: long non-coding RNA, 1512 nt
Filed under: Elaeis guineensis (African oil palm)
Lineage: Eukaryota; Viridiplantae; Streptophyta; Magnoliopsida; Arecales; Arecaceae
Description: long non-coding RNA (EGUI_LNC076642)
Source: RNAcentral
UGAUCAAUAUUUUUACCAGUAAUAUCAAUAAGAACCAAAAGUUGACAUGAUGUUAAUAGAAUGGUCUAAGCAACAAUAGCUGUCCACUAAAAUAUAUCCCUCUUUUAGGUGUUGUGGCAUUGCUCUUCUUGGAAAAUAGUUUAAAGCCUUGUCCGGUUUAAGGUCAAAAUUUCUAAAUACUCAAAUCUCCACGAUCUUAAUUGGUGACCAACAUUGAGAUGAAUUGAAAUUUUAAUUUAUGUUGCUAAAGAUUGAAAGCAAAAAAUUUUGAAAAGAUCCUUUAUUUUCCUAUAUCUCAUCGGAUAGCUAGGAAUAGGAUAUUGAAAUGUGGGUAAUAUUUGUAUUUGACAUUAUCAACUUUUUUUUAAGCAUUAAUUUUGAACUUCUUAGUUAUAGACACAUUUAAAAUAAGAAUUUGAUUGCAUCGGCUGAUAUUUUAGGAUUGUAUUUUAUGUGCCUGAGAUAGUAGGAGAUGAGAUAUUCUAGCUUUGACAUUGAGUGUCCAAUAAUAAAAUAAACUGAGAUCUAGAUCAGGAUAAAAAUCUUUCUCAAUAAUAAUACAUAUUUAGCCCAUUUUACCCAUCCUUAUUUCAUUUAUUUAGCCAAAUGGUCACCAUUGAUCCCAAGUUAGGGCGUCUUCAAAGCGGGUAGAAUGAAGGUUUCAAAGAGUUUGACAACCAUGAUUUGCUUUACUCGGGUCACUAAGCUAAUCUACAAUCUAACCAAAAUAGUAGAAUAGAUUGAACCAAGUUAACUCUUUCAUUUAUUUAAAAAGGUUCACAUAAAUCCCUUACAAAAAAUUCAUGUAAAUGAUUUAUGUAAUUUUAGUAUCCCUAUACCAAGCAAAGUAUUAAUUUUAUUUAGUAACUUAAAAUAAAAUAGGUGAAUUAAAAAGUCAGCUUGAAUGAACUCAUGACCUCAACAACAAUAUCAACUAAUUUAGUGUGUAAUGGAUAUUAGGUGCACUAAAAAUGAGUCAUGUUUUAAUUAAGGUGGAAGUACAAGUUAGACCAAUUAAAGUGUAAAAUCAAAUAUUAGAUCACUAAAUUCAAUAUUUUACUUUUUGUCAAAAAAAUAGUGCUUGUGGUGGAAGAAUUAUCAUCACAUUGAUUGAUUUUUUGUUGAAGCUUCUUAAUAUGAAAAGUUUAUAUACGUAGAAGAAAGCAAAGUGAUAGUAAUUACAAGUCAAAGUAAAAGAAGAAGCAUGUUGAUGUUAAUAGAUUUGUUUAAGUAAUUGAAUAUUUGUUGUAGAUAAUCUUAAAGAAGGAAAAAAGAUGCUAUUGUAAAAUUGGUUGGAAAAAAAGAGAAGAAGAAGUGUUAGCACCUAUUGAUCGUCUAUUUCUUUAAGUUUUGGAAUAUAUGCCAAAGAUGCUAUUGUAUAUUUGGUUGGAAAUGCACAUCAUGUUUCCCAUCUACUCGUACUUAGAAAAGUCAAAAGGAAGUAUAUAUAAGCUUAAUUACAAACUAUGUUGAGCUUUACUAAAUGGUAAGUCUUUUAUUUUGAUAAAAAUU